UACGGAGGGUGCAAGCGUUAAUCGGAAUUACUGGGCGUAAAGCGCGCGUAGGCGGUUUUUUAAGUCGGAUGUGAAAGCCCCGGGCUCAACCUGAGAACUGCAUCCGAUACUGGAUGACUAGAAUGCGGGAGAGGGAGGUAGAAUUCCAUGUGUAGCAGUGAAAUGCGUAGAUAUAUGGAGGAAUACCAGUGGCGAAGGCGGCCUCCUGGCUCGANAUUGACGCUGAGGUGCGAAAGCGUGGGGAGCAAACGGG
Molecule: ribosomal RNA, 253 nt
Filed under: uncultured bacterium
Lineage: Bacteria
Description: partial 16S ribosomal RNA
Rfam family: Bacterial small subunit ribosomal RNA
Source: RNAcentral